This 464-nucleotide ribosomal RNA is filed under the name uncultured bacterium. RNAcentral describes it as "partial 16S ribosomal RNA". It matches the Rfam family "Bacterial small subunit ribosomal RNA", at positions 29 to 507 of the family's 1533-position model. The record is from RNAcentral.
ACGAACGCUGGCGGCGUGCUUAACACAUGCAAGUCGAACGGAAAGGCCCUGCUUGCAGGGUACUCGAGUGGCGAACGGGUGAGUAACACGUGGGUGAUCUGCCCUGCACUUCGGGAUAAGCCUGGGAAACUGGGUCUAAUACCGGAUAGGAGCCAUUUUUAGUGUGAUGGUUGGAAAGUUUUUUCGGUGUAGGAUGAGCUCGCGGCCUAUCAGCUUGUUGGUGGGGUAAUGGCCUACCAAGGCGGCGACGGGUAGCCGGCCUGAGAGGGGGGACGGCCACAUUGGGGCUGAGAUACGGCCCAGACUCCUACGGGAGGCAGCAGUGGGGAAUAUUGCACAAUGGGCGCAAGCCUGAUGCAGCGACGCCGCGUGGGGGAUGACGGCCUUCGGGUUGUAAACUCCUUUCGCUAGGGACGAAGCUUUGUGUGACGGUACCUAGAUAAGAAGCACCGGCUAACUACGUG